AUACGUAGGGUGCAAGCAUUAAUCGGAUUUAUUGGGCGUAAAGAGUGCGUAGGCGGGAAUGUAAGUCAGACGUUAAAGCCCGAAGCUCAACUUCGGAACUGCAUCUGAAACUACAUUUCUUGAGGAUGGACGGAGAAAGCGGAAUUCCACGUGUAGCGGUGAAAUGCGUAGAUAUGUGGAAGAACACCUGUGGCGAAAGCGGCUUUCUAGUUUAUACCUGACGCUGAGGCACGAAAGCAUGGGGAGCGAACAGGAUUAGAAACCCCAGUAGUCC
This 274-nucleotide ribosomal RNA is filed under the name uncultured bacterium. RNAcentral describes it as "partial 16S ribosomal RNA". It matches the Rfam family "Bacterial small subunit ribosomal RNA", at positions 523 to 796 of the family's 1533-position model. The record is from RNAcentral.